Molecule: ribosomal RNA, 253 nt
Filed under: uncultured bacterium
Lineage: Bacteria
Description: partial 16S ribosomal RNA
Rfam family: Bacterial small subunit ribosomal RNA
Source: RNAcentral
UACGUAGGAUGCUAGCGUUGUCCGGAUUUACUGGGUGUAAAGGGAGCGCAGGCGGGAUGAUAAGUCGGUGGUGAAAUUCUUAGGCUUAACCUGAGAACUGCCAUCGAUACUGUUAUUCUUGAGUGCAGAAGAGGUUGAUGGAAUUCUAGGUGUAGCGGUGAAAUGCGUAGAUAUCUAGAAGAACACCGAUGGCGAAGGCAGUCAACUGGUCUGCUACUGACGCUCAUGCUCGAAAGCGUGGGGAUCAAACAGG